CACGCCGUAAACGAUGGAUGCUAGAUGUCGGGGGGUUGCCCUCGGUGUCGUAGUUAACGCGUUAAGCAUCCCGCCUGGGGAGUACGGUCGCAAGGCUGAAACUCAAAGAAAUUGACGGGGGCCCGCACAAGCGGUGGAGUAUGUGGUUUAAUUCGAUGCAACGCGAAGAACCUUACCGGGGUUUGACAUCCACGGAACCUUCUUGAAAGAGAGGGGUGCCCUUCGGGGAGCAGUGAGACAGGUGC
RNAcentral lists this ribosomal RNA (245 nucleotides) under uncultured bacterium. Its description in RNAcentral is "partial 16S ribosomal RNA". It matches the Rfam family "Bacterial small subunit ribosomal RNA", at positions 796 to 1041 of the family's 1533-position model. The record is from RNAcentral.